AUUGGGCUGGGACUGGGCUGCGUGUUUGCUCUUGCUAGUCGCGCGCCGCCGCGCUAACAUGUUCCUUCGCUCUUGUUCGUGACACUCCCCUGCUGCCGCCCUGUGCUCUGUUGUUUUCUUAUUCGCUCGUAGGUGAGAAUUUCAUCGAGGAUUGGGCGGGAGCUUGGACUUAGCGGCCAGGAGUAGCGACGCGGAGCUGGGAAUUGUAGGAGUGCCUGGGCCUCACGGUACCGUGAGCACAUGCAUGGGUUUGCACCCUUGAGAGCGUGUGGACACUAAUCCCCCCUCGAGGUUAGAGUAGCGGGGGUUGCGCGAUUUCCGGUUGGUAAGACCGGCGGCUCAACGCAGCAGGUAUGCGAGGUAACUUCAGGUAACAUCCGUAAACCGUCGCUUUGCUGCAUCGCAUACACUGUCUUUGCGCAACGUUUUCCUUGUGCUCUUUAACACAAGUGCGCGAGCCGGUUCAUGUCCCGCGGGCGUGCCGGGGCCUCUAGGGCUCGUGUUUUAGCGACUUGAUUUGUGAGUGUAUGGACAAUUUCUGGUGGUGAAAUUGCCCUAUGCUCACAAAUCUGUCGAAGGGUAAUUUUCGGCGUCCUACUCAGUGCUGUGCUGCGUGCCGUCGCGUCUGGACGAUGCUACCGAAAAUUGCUAUCUUGUCGGAGUUUUGGGCACUAGGCCUGGAGCCCGUUCCGCGGGGUCGGGGACCGGGCUGGGGGCCUUGUGGCGCCUCGGGCGCGCCGUGUUCCUCCUGCUUGUCGCGUUCCUCUGAUUUGCGCCAUAACCUGUACUGACUUUGGGCCCGCCCUCCCCGUGCCGCUGCCCCGCGGCAUCGACGUCCCCAUAAGCUGUACGUGUACUUGGACCUGGUGCUACAUGGCCGCAUGAGGGGAGUACCUAGCGUGUGCCGCCUCCGUCACACCAUGGAGUGGGGAGCGGGGGUUUUUCCCCCGCCAGCCCAUGGUGCUGACACCCCAUUUGCAUUUGCCGUCAUGCAUGCGCCCAUGCCGUCCCCCGCCUGUUUACUUGCUCGUGGUCGCCCACCCUCCGUCUCUUUCCUAAAUCGCGCAACCCCUAGUAUAGUUAAUUGGGCUGGGACUGGGCUGCGUGUUUGCUCUUGCUAGUCGCGCGCCGCCGCGCUAACAUGUUCCUUCGCUCUUGUUCGUGACACUCCCCUGCUGCCGCCCUGUGCUCUGUUGUUUUCUUAUUCGCUCGUAGGUGAGAAUUUCAUCGAGGAUUGGGCGGGAGCUUGGACUUAGCGGCCAGGAGUAGCGACGCGGAGCUGGGAAUUGUAGGAGUGCCUGGGCCUCACGGUACCGUGAGCACAUGCAUGGGUUUGCACCCUUGAGAGCGUGUGGACACUAAUCCCCCCUCGAGGUUAGAGUAGCGGGGGUUGCGCGAUUUCCGGUUGGUAAGACCGGCGGCUCACCGCAGCAG
This 1434-nucleotide long non-coding RNA is filed under the name Chlamydomonas reinhardtii. RNAcentral describes it as "long non-coding RNA (CREI_LNC001182)". Lineage: Eukaryota; Viridiplantae; Chlorophyta; Chlorophyceae; Chlamydomonadales; Chlamydomonadaceae. The record is from RNAcentral.